This 621-nucleotide ribosomal RNA is filed under the name uncultured bacterium. Its description in RNAcentral is "bacterial SSU rRNA". It matches the Rfam family "Bacterial small subunit ribosomal RNA", at positions 766 to 1387 of the family's 1533-position model. The record is from RNAcentral.
GAGCGAACAGGAUUAGAUACCCUGGUAGUNCACGCCGUAAACGAUGAGUGCUAGGUGUUAGGCCCUUUCCGGGGCUUAGUGCCGCAGCUAACGCAUUAAGCACUCCGCCUGGGGAGUACGACCGCAAGGUUGAAACUCAAAGGAAUUGACGGGGGCCCGCACAAGCGGUGGAGCAUGUGGUUUAAUUCGAAGCAACGCGAAGAACCUUACCAGGUCUUGACAUCCCGAUGCCCGCUCUAGAGAUAGAGUUUUACUUCGGUACAUCGGUGACAGGUGGUGCAUGGUUGUCGUCAGCUCGCGUCGUGAGAUGUUGGGUUAAGUCCCGCAACGAGCGCAACCCUUAUUGUUAGUUGCCAUCAUUCAGUUGGGCACUCUAGCGAGACUGCCGGUAAUAAACCGGAGGAAGGUGGGGAUGACGUCAAAUCAUCAUGCCCCUUAUGACCUGGGCUACACACGUGCUACAAUGGCUGGUACAACGAGUCGCAAGUCGGUGACGGCAAGCUAAUCUCUUAAAGCCAGUCUCAGUUCGGAUUGUAGGCUGCAACUCGCCUACAUGAAGUCGGAAUCGCUAGUAAUCGCGGAUCAGCACGCCGCGGUGAAUACGUUCCCGGGCCUUGUACA